UUGUGUGUGUGUGUGUGUGUGCGUAUCUUUGUCUGUGUGUGUGUGUGUGUGUGUGUGUAUCUGUCUCAGUAUGUGCCUGUCUGUGUGUGUGUGUGUGUGUGUGUGUGUGUGUUUCACAGGGUAAACAAGAUGAGCUGUUAGUGGAUCCUGCCGAACCAGCUGAGAGGGCAAUUGAGGAAAAACAGAACCCAGGGAUGUUCAGGGGUGUGAUGCAGAAAAUCAAUCCCUUCAAAUCCGUCACCCAGGACAGCCAGUCAGUGACCAGUGACUCCUCCGUCAGUUCUGACAGUUUGGCAGAAAACAAUAACACUGAGGCCAAACAGCAGCAGCCCAUGAAAGGUGUGCCUGGCGUUGAGGAACAGCAGUUCACCGAGAGGAAGAGCAAAAAGAAAGGG
Molecule: long non-coding RNA, 395 nt
Organism: Clupea harengus (Atlantic herring)
Lineage: Eukaryota; Metazoa; Chordata; Actinopteri; Clupeiformes; Clupeidae
Source: Ensembl